UUUGGUCUUGAUUCAGCCUCUGCUUGUGCUGCCCCAGACCUUUCUUCUUGGCUGCACGAGCGGGAGGUGAUGCAGAGCUUAAUUCAACAGCAUUUACUCCGUGCCCAAGACCGCAUGAAGUGUCAAGCUGACAAGCGGCGCUCUGAGCGCGUGUUCCAGGUGGGCGACCGUGUGUUUCUCAAGAUGCAGCCAUAUGUGCAGUCGUCCCUUGCUCCCAAGGCUUGUCAAAAGUUGGCUUUCAAAUACUUCGGUCCAUUCAACAUCCUGGAGCGUAUCGGUUCGGUGGCUUACAAGCUCGAAUUGCCGCCAUCUACGUCAAUUCACCCUAUUUUUCAUGUGUCGCAGCUCAAACAGGCCAUCGGUGAUCAACUGGUUUCUGCUCUUCCCAGCGACCACUCUGCCUUCGCCUUUCCCGAGCGCGUACUGCAACGGCGUGUCGCAGCUGGUGAUCGGCCGGUACUCCAAGGGCUGAUCAAGUGGUCCGGUAUACCUGCGUCGCUCGCUACCUGGGAAGACCUGGAGGCUCUUCGUCAACGUUUUCCACUGGCUACUUGAUUCCCAAGAGGAGGGGGUGUUAGCAGCACAAGUAACCAGGAGACUGAAGCAACCGGCCAGGAGCACGGCCCAAGAGUGAAGAAGCCCAACGGGAAGGUCCUCGGCCCAGAAUGGGUGAACUGAGUAGUAUAUGUAUUAGCUGAGAGAGACAAGAGCAUAGAUGUAUGAACACUCAAACUAUUUCCCAAGUAAUCUGACCUCCUCCGAUCCCAAUUCAGCUUGUCACAAAUUCUGUUCUUCCUUCCAAUCCCCGAUAUCCUGCUGGCUCUUACAACGAAGUUGUCAAACCGUCGAACCGCACCAGGAAAGUGUAGUCUUUGCCUCGCUCCUCUCUCGGCUCCCUCCGACGAGCGGCGAUGGCAACCUCGCUCCCGCCGAUCGACUGGGAGGCGGAGAGCUACCCCGCCUACCCAGACUUCGCGGCCAUCCCCUUUUCGCCGUCUUCUUCCUCGCCGUCCGUUUCCUCCUCGACCGCUUCGUAUUCGAGUGGUUAGCCAGGAAGCUGAUUUUCAAGAAGGGGAAUGAGAAGCUCGAUCCUACUACAUAUGCAGGCAAGAGAAAGAUCAGGAAAUUUAAAGAAUCAGCUUGGAAAUGCAUUUAUUUCCUUUCCGGGGAGCUAUUGGCAUUGUCUGUGACAUACAAUGAGCCAUGGUUCACAACCACAAGAAAUUUCUGGGUUGGACCAGGUGAUCAGGUCUGGCCAGAUCGAAAAAUAAAACUUAAACUCAAGGCGGUCUAUAUGUAUGGUGCUGGUUUUUACACAUACUCAAUAUUUGCCCUUUUGUUUUGGGAAACAAGGCGCUCAGACUUUGGCAUUUCAAUGACUCACCAUGUAGCAACUGUUUGUCUGAUAGCACUGUCUUACAUAUUCAGAUUUGCUCGCGUGGGUUCAGUUGUUCUUGCCAUCCAUGAUGCAAGUGACGUGUUCCUGGAGCUUGGAAAGAUUUCUAAGUACAGUGGCCACGAGUUGCUUGCAGAUGUUUCAUUUCUUGUUUUCAUCAGUUCUUGGGUAGUCCUUCGCCUUAUAUAUUAUCCAUUCUGGAUUCUCUGGAGCACAAGCUAUGAAGUUGUUCUGACUCUAGACAAGGAGAAACAUAAGUUUGACGGGCCAAUAUACUACUAUGUAUUCAAUACUCUUCUCUUCUCCCUCCUUGUUCUACACAUAUAUUGGUGGGUCUUAAUGUAUCGGAUGCUUGUGAAGCAAAUACAGUCUAGAGGGCAUGUUGGGGAUGAUAUACGAUCUGAUUCUGAAGGUGAAGAGGAACAUGAGGAUUGAUUGAGCUCUGUAAAUUAAGAAGAAAAGGAUCCUGAGUAUUGAUUGAGCAUGAGCUGUGUAGGUUCUGAAGGUGUAGAGGAACACGAGGGGAUGGCUUGAGCACUGUAACAGUUUUGUUUUGGGGCUCUUUACCCCUUUUAUUCUUCUUAAUAUAUUGAUGCGCAGUUCUCCUGCGUGUUCGAGAAAAAAAAACUUGCUGCUCUGCCUUUCCAGAUCAUUUCUGUUUGUUUAGUGCGGGAUCUUCACAAAUUAAUAAUACACUAGUGCCUUCACUUGGGCAUAAUACAUUUAUGUAAAACUUGGUCAAAUUGUAUAGCACCUACACAGCAGUUAAUGGAAAACAUUACUUGUGUACC
Molecule: RNA transcript, 2187 nt
Organism: Panicum virgatum (switchgrass)
Lineage: Eukaryota; Viridiplantae; Streptophyta; Magnoliopsida; Poales; Poaceae
Gene name: ASC1-like protein 2
Exons: 6
Source: RefSeq, a predicted model, not a curated record